Molecule: long non-coding RNA, 296 nt
Filed under: Medicago truncatula (barrel medic)
Lineage: Eukaryota; Viridiplantae; Streptophyta; Magnoliopsida; Fabales; Fabaceae
Description: long non-coding RNA (MTRU_LNC000771)
Source: RNAcentral
GUGCUCGUGAUUUUCGGAUAUCAAACCAUUAAUUGAUUUGAAUCGUCAAUCUUUGAACUCUCGAUUUUUAUUCGUGGGGAGGGGAAAAAAUGAGUAAAAACCCUCAUCGAGACUUUGGAUUCGGGGGUUGGUUAUGCGAAGGGAAGGUGCUAGCACCCUAAGCAUCUACGGUAUUCCGUAGGAACCUCUUACCUAAUUUAUCUUGUGCUAAAUUGAUUUGCUUAUUUGAAAAUUAAUAUCUAAAAAUCUAAGUGAAAGAAUGGAGGGAGAAGAAGUAUGUUUUUGGUUAUUUUUAC